Arachis ipaensis is the source of this 667-nucleotide non-coding RNA. The record is from RefSeq and is a predicted model, not a curated record. NCBI's taxonomy places the organism in Eukaryota, Viridiplantae, Streptophyta, Magnoliopsida, Fabales, Fabaceae.
UAGCUAGCUUCACUCACUUAACAUCUCUCCUCUAUUUAAAGGCUUCAAUUCAUUUCAGUGUGCAAUGCAACAUCCACAUAUAUAUCUACAGAAAAUAACACACAUACACUGCAUUCUACAAGCCAAGCAAAGGCCACAUAAAUAUAAUAAUUUAUUAAGAAAUAAUAAAGGAUAAUUAUUGAAGUAGUAGAGGCUUUUCCAUUCAGUGAUGUCUGGCCAGAGAAGCUCCACAACAGGUUCGAAGUUAACAGAGAAUGAGAUUAAUGAUCUUGUGUCAAGGUUGCAAGUACUUCUGCCACAUCUGAACCAAAGAACCAACUCAAAGCAUUCAAUGUCAAAGAUCUUGCAAGAAACUUGCAGUCACAUUAGGAGGCUGCAGAAAGAAGUGGAUGACCUUAGUGAAAGGCUAGCAUUGCUAAUGGAUUCUAUGGAUAUUAGUGACGUUGACAGAAGAGUUUUAGAAAACUUUUUGCAACAAUAACAAAUGAGUCCUUUUUCUACAUUCUAGGCCCCUAUGACCUCCUUGCCUAUUUCUAUAUGUCUCCUCUUUAUUGUUCCCACCUAUUUAGAUUGUAAUCUAAUAGGGGCUCCAACUAGCUUGUACUAAAAUAAGUUGUGUAAUGAUAAAGAAUAAAACUUCUUAAAAGGAAGAGCAAAUUCGCUAAAA